CUUAGCUCAGCUGGGAGAGCGCCUGCUUUGCACGCAGGAGGUCAGCGGUUCGAUCCCGCUAG
Molecule: transfer RNA, 62 nt
Filed under: Bacillus licheniformis
Lineage: Bacteria; Bacillati; Bacillota; Bacilli; Caryophanales; Bacillaceae
Also listed under: 1 other name
Description: tRNA-Ala
Rfam family: tRNA
About the family: Transfer RNA (tRNA) molecules are approximately 80 nucleotides in length. Their secondary structure includes four short double-helical elements and three loops (D, anti-codon, and T loops).
Source: RNAcentral